CCUGGGCUCCCGUCAGGGAGUUGGCUCAAAGGUGGUGAACGUGUCGCCGAGCGGGGGAAACGGUGUUCCGGCCGUCUGGGCGCCUGAGCUCCGGGGCAAGUCGACGGAGCAGACCUGGCUGCGAGCGAGAGGAGACAGAGGCCGCUCCCGACAAACAGAUCUGCUCUGCUGUCCUGAGGGCCGAAGGCUGUGGUUGAUUUCUCUGUCAAUGAAAAUCAGCCCCGGUGGAAGAGGGGGAGCCAUGGUGGGGAAGCAGAAGGACAGGAGUGAAACACGAAGGCAGGAGUGUCCCAGAGUGGUGCAACAGAGAGGAAGGGCUCCAGAGGCUCAGGCCAGAGAGGGACAGGAAAACUGGUUUGUGGAUACCCUGCCCAUGCCUGCCUAAACCAACAGCCUCUCCAGCGCUGGAAUCGUGUCUGCUCCAGAGAGAGGAGGAGGGCAGCUGAGAAAAAACCCACGAGACAACAUGCAGCAGUCACUCCUUUGGCCAAUGGAAUCAAAGAAGUGAGAGCAUAAGCUGCAACUGUUCCUAAGGCAUGGAAGACGUGUCUUUCCUAUUUGAGAAUGAUUCUUCUGGCUCCUGCACUAAGUGCCAUCCCCUCCUGCAGUCUCAUGGCUCCCAGUCAUUCUGCUGCCUGAGGAACUAGCUGCCAGAUCAUCAGUUUGGGCUCAAGCCCCUCUCAUCACGUCCCUCCCUGAACCAGCCCGAAGUCCAGUAGCUGGAGUCUGGAAUAAUACCUUCCUUCCGGCUGGCAACACUCCAUGAAAACCCCAGAGCUUGUCCUGUCAGCUGGAGCCCAGAAAGCCAGCCAGGCUCCUGCAGUUGGCAUAUUUAGUGUAGAGCCGAACGUGGGGAGGAGCCUAUUUCCUGGCGGCGGCGGGGG
Neofelis nebulosa (Clouded leopard) is the source of this 884-nucleotide long non-coding RNA. RefSeq lists it as uncharacterized. The record is from RefSeq and is a predicted model, not a curated record. Lineage: Eukaryota; Metazoa; Chordata; Mammalia; Carnivora; Felidae. The transcript is spliced from 6 exons.